CAGCCCACCCUGUAAGCAGGGCAGGGCUUUUCCCGCCCCCCAGCCCACCCUGUAAGCAGGGCAGGGCUUUUCCCCCUGGCACCUUUGUGCCUGCUUAUGGCCCCUGGCCAGAGUGACCCCCUGUAGCUGGGGCGUGUCACGGCCUUGAUCGCUGGGCCAGUUGUGAAGCCCCUCAGUGUGCUGAGGUCCCUCUGGCCUCUGCAGAGCCCGGGGCAGGGCUGAGGCUCUGCUCUCCUGCCCAGAGGGAGGGAUGGCUCCCCACGCGUUGGCUGCACAGAGCCUGCUCCCUCUUCUGGGACGUUCCCCCUUUGUGUUUUUGUGUUUGUCGGUGUGAGUGAGCAAGUGAGCUUGUGUUUUAUCCCCCGUAGCAAAAGUGAGGCUAGUGUAGCUUAGACUUCCCAGGAGGGAAAGAGGGGCUCUGUGCAGCAACCGGGGGGUGCCCUCUGAACCCACGGGUGGAGACAGGGCCCAGCCUUGCCCCUUCUUCCCCAGGACAGAGCGAAGCCCGUUAGUGGUGGUGCAGGCACCGUGACCCGCCUGUAGCCAGGGCCUGGGCGUGUGCCUGCGCUGCGGGGCUGCCUGUCCUGCUGGUGAUGUGCCAGCGUGAUCCCCACCCCCCCCCCCGGCCUUAGGCCGUCAGGCCACUGUUGGGAGUGCCGGGCCUCGGGGGCGGCCCUGUAAGUGGGGCUUUGUGCGUCCCCCGUGCCCGGCGGGCGGUUGGAGGGACCCUCUGUAACCAGGCGGGUGUCCCGUGGGGUCCCCACCCUUUCACAGGCGUGGGGCUGGGCGUGUGCCCUCCCUGUCCUCGGGGGAAGGCCGAGCUCCGUGGCUCCCUGGGUGUGAACCCGCCUGUAAGCAGGGUCCGGGUCUGGGAGCCUUUGUGCUCCCUCAGCUGGCAGCCUGUGCGGGGCGACCGCCCCGUUAGCGGGGAGCGGGUCAGGUGCCCCCGAAGCGGAGAGAAGGAGCCUCCGCGAGCCUUUGGGCCCAGGGCUGCCCUGUAAGUCGGGGCCAGUGCCCUGGAGUCCCGGGCACUUUGUGCUCCAAGCAGCGGCCGGAGCCCCCUGUAAGCAGGGGUGCAGCCUCUUUGGCCACUGCUUUGCCUGCCCAGCUGCCUUUGCCCAGAGGGCCCGGCUCCCAGCAGCGGAUGGGACUGCGUCGCUCUGAAGCCGUCGGAGAAGAAAGAAGAGACAGGACUGGAACUUCGAGGCAAGAGUGAAGAAGAGGAGCAGCGGGUGGGACUGCGCUAUGAGUCGCCGUAGGGAGUCCAAGUGAAGCUUGGAUAGUUUUGUGGAACUGGGGGAGCCUGUGGCUGGGUGGGGAAGGGCUUGGAGAUGUGCCUCCGGGGGCAUGGGGUCCGGGUUACCUUGGUAUGUAAUGUCCCUUUAAGGCUUCACUCUCAGUAGUGGUUGUAUUAGUCCCUAUGCAAAUCUAGCAGGUUUUGUGACACAGAAUUGCAGCGUAUAGAAGACUGAGAAAUGCAGAGCUCCGAAUCAUUUCACUUACGGCACUCUGUAAUGAGAUCUAAUCAACGUUUAACACCUCGGGGUGAAAUUUCCCCCUCCUUUCCGUAUAUGGGUUUUUGUUAUAAUCCCAGGACAGUCUCCAGUUUGUUGUUGUUAAACAAGUGAUGUCAUCCCCAACUGACUAAAAUGAUUGGAAGUGCUAGAAAUAAGUAUUACAGAAAAGGUUGAAACAGUGCUUUCAUGCUGAAAAUACCCAAGGCUUUGUUUUUAUAACAAAUACAUAAUCCUGCAAUGUAAAUACCAGGUGCCACCCAGCCACCACAUAGGUACUGACUGGCCACAGAAAGAUUUUUCACUCAAUAAAUAAUUGAGCGAACAUGGGCAAUUCCAUCCUGCAGUUUCUCACCUGUAAAGCGUAGGCUGCAACUAGUCAAAGUUAUUUGACAUCUAUGAAGAAAGGCUUGUAGACAAGAACAACAUAUUUUCUCUAAAUAUCUUCUAUACUACCUCUAUCCAGGCAAAACACAGUUCUGCAUUUACAAAAUACAGGGUGUUGAGGGUAAUGACUGCCAAGAAUUGCAGGGAGGACCUUACAAAGCUGUGUGGCUGGUCAAUAUCACAGUAGCUGAAAUUCACUCUGAAUAAAGAAAAGCUACAUGCACCAGAAAAAGUCUUAACUUCAAAUAUGCAUAAGGUUCUGAACUGACAAUUGUGGUUCAGCAAUAAGCAUAUAUGAUAGAUCCAAGAGAGAAUUAGGUCACUGCUCAUUAUCAAUUAAGGAAGCAAAUAAACUUUUUAAGAAUUUUUAGGAAGGAAGAGAAAUAAAACAGAACUAAGCACCGUGCCUUUGAAUAAAUGUAUGAUUCACCUAUGUUUUUAAUAAUUCUGCAGCUCUGGUUUCAUUUUAGGAGAAUAUGGUCAAACAGAAAAGACCAGUAAGGAUAAUGCACAUCAGUGCAAAGAACUGCAUAUGCAAGAACAUCUCAGCUUGGAAAAGAGAACUAAGAGAGAAUGCACAAGUCUAUCCACAAGCAGGUGGAAAAGAGUGAAAGGGCAUUGAUUCCCAUGGCAUCAGUUGUUCACCAAUUCUCAGAAAUAUAGGUGACAACAAACGAAAUCCAGCUAGGGAUGGAAAGUUUAAGCACUGGUGAGAAAACGCGAAACUCACUGCAAGGGCUGCGAGGGAUGUUUAGAGGUUACAAGGGAGGACUGGGAAAGUGCACAGAGAAGACAUUCUGUGGAGGUUACUACAAGAAAUAUCCAGCUCAGGAAAUACCCUGAGCUGAAAACUGUUGGAAAAUGAGAAGUAGAAGGGGUAGCAACAUACUGCCUUUUUCUGACUGGGCAACCACUGUCAGAAGCAGGAAACUGGACUAGAGGGACCUUAAGUUGACCCAAUAGGACAAUUCCUAUGUUGCUGGCUUUACCUCACAGCAUGCAGCUAUAGAUUUCCAAUAGCUCAGUGCAGGUAACAUAAAUCUAGAAACCAGGGUGGCUUCGAUGGUACGGACUGUCAUAUCUGUUCAUUCAACCCUGCGAUGCUUCUUAAGAGAGCCCUGACACAUAAACCCAUUGAGUGUCCCAUGCAAAUACAAACAUAUAUGUGUGUGUAUUGGGAUGAGCAUGGGAGGGGCUACCCACAACUUCACCACCAUGCAGAUAUCGUAAGUGAUCUAAUUCACUUCCAUUUACUCUUCUUGUUGUUGUGGAUUAACUUGAACAGAGAUAGGAAAUGGUUUCAGUGCAAACUGGAGUAUGACCAAGCAAGAACAAGAGAUUGUGAAGAAAAGAAAGUCUUCAGCAGCCCAGGCUGCCAUUUCUCAGUAAAAGCCACAGAACCCCUGGGACAAUCAUCCCCAGAACACGAAUUUAGUAUCAACAUGGCUUGCCAAAAAAGCAGAACUGCUGGCUUUUAGCAUGCACAGAGGUACAGUGCUCCAAGCCUCACUUCCAAAGUAUACAACUAACUUGUACCUAUAGAACCAAUAGUCUCAAGUCUCUCUUACCUCAUCAAACCAUGCACUGCAAGAAUGUCAUCUUACUGCAAAAAUUAUUUUUUGUAAGAUAUCCAUUUUUUAAAAUAAAAAUCUCCAUUAACAUUCACUUAUUUCCCUGGUUUAUUUUCUUCUUCCUAAGCCCUCCCUCCUUUGGAUAACUCUAAGGGCUGUAGAGUGAUUGUUAAAGCAAUUGUCAUUUCAAAAUUAACAUAUCUUCAUACAUAUGUUCACAGCUGCCUUGGAGUGCCUCACAAAUUUGCACAUCAUCUUUUUAUGUGGGCUAUGAUGCUCCAUAAGGAUAAAGAUGGUGAAAAAUUGCACAAGACUCCCUUGGGACUCCUUCUACUCCUGUGGACUGUGGAAUGAGAUAGGGAAGAAUUAUCACUGCCCUCUGAAGUGGCCAAAAACAUAUCUUUCAUGCAGUAGUAAACAAAGCCCUGUAAUUGCAGUAAGAUGACAAUGCUGGUAACUCUUAGAGAUGUCCCAAGCACUAAGCAUUGCAGGACUGCAUCCCACAUUUGCAUUGUCUUUGAUUCUUACUAUUUUCUACAGCUCAUUAAAACUUAACUUCAUAGAAGUCUGAAUAGAAGUCAUAUACAUGUUAAAAUACAGUAAUUUAUGUCUGCCUUACAAUGUUACAAUAAAAGCAUAUUUCAUCAA
Molecule: long non-coding RNA, 4120 nt
Organism: Pipra filicauda (Wire-tailed manakin)
Lineage: Eukaryota; Metazoa; Chordata; Aves; Passeriformes; Pipridae
Exons: 2
Source: RefSeq, a predicted model, not a curated record